Molecule: ribosomal RNA, 431 nt
Filed under: uncultured bacterium
Lineage: Bacteria
Description: partial 16S ribosomal RNA
Rfam family: Bacterial small subunit ribosomal RNA
Source: RNAcentral
AACGAACGCUGGCGGCAGGCUUAACACAUGCAAGUCGAGCGCCCCGCAAGGGGAGCGGCAGACGGGUGAGUAACGCGUGGGAACGUACCUUUUGGUUCGGAACAACUCCGGGAAACUGGAGCUAAUACCGGAUAAGCCCUAACGGGGAAAGAUUUAUCGCCGAAAGAUCGGCCCGCGUCUGAUUAGCUGGUUGGUGAGGUAACGGCGCCCCAAGGCGACGAUCAGUAGCUGGUCUGAGAGGAUGAUCAGCCACACUGGGACUGAGACACGGCCCAGACUCCUACGGGAGGCAGCAGUGGGGAAUAUUGGACAAUGGGCGCAAGCCUGAUCCAGCCAUGCCGCGUGAGUGAUGAAGGCCUUAGGGUUGUAAAGCUCUUUUGUCCGGGAAGAUAAUGACUGUACCGGAAGAAUAAGCCCCGGCUAACUUCGUG